RNAcentral lists this ribosomal RNA (460 nucleotides) under uncultured bacterium. RNAcentral's name for it is "partial 16S ribosomal RNA". It matches the Rfam family "Bacterial small subunit ribosomal RNA", at positions 338 to 795 of the family's 1533-position model. The record is from RNAcentral.
CCUACGGGUGGCAGCAGUGAGGAAUAUUGGUCAAUGGACGAGAGUCUGAACCAGCCAAGUAGCGUGAAGGAUGACUGCCCUAUGGGUUGUAAACUUCUUUUAUAUGGGAAUAAAACGUUCCACGUGUGGGAUUUUGUAUGUACCAUAUGAAUAAGGAUCGGCUAACUCCAUGCCAGCAGCCGCGGUAAUACGGAGGAUCCGAGCGUUAUCCGGAUUUAUUGGGUUUAAAGGGAGCGUAGGUGGAUUGUUAAGUCAGUUGUGAAAGUUUGCGGCUCAACCGUAAAAUUGCAGUUGAAACUGGCAGUCUUGAGUACAGUAGAGGUGGGCGGAAUUCGUGGUGUAGCGGUGAAAUGCUUAGAUAUCACGAAGAACUCCGAUUGCGAAGGCAGUUCACUGGACUGCAACUGACACUGAGGCUCGAAAGUGUGGGUAUCAAACAGGAUUAGAUACCCCAGUAGUC